UACGUAGGGCGCAAGCGUUAUCCGGAAUUAUUGGGCGUAAAGAGCUCGUAGGCGGUUUGUCGCGUCUGCCGUGAAAGUCCGGGGCUCAACUCCGGAUCUGCGGUGGGUACGGGGCAGACUAGAGUGCGGUAGGGGGAGACUGGAAUUCCUGGUGUAGCGGUGGAAUGCGCAGAUAUCAGGAGGAACACCGAUGGCGAAGGCAGGUCUCUGGGCCGCAACUGACGCUGAGGAGCGAAAGCAUGGGGAGCGAACAGG
RNAcentral lists this ribosomal RNA (255 nucleotides) under uncultured bacterium. RNAcentral describes it as "partial 16S ribosomal RNA". It matches the Rfam family "Bacterial small subunit ribosomal RNA", at positions 524 to 776 of the family's 1533-position model. The record is from RNAcentral.